AUCUUCCGCAAUGGACGAAAGUCUGACGGAGCAACGCCGCGUGCGUGAUGAAGGCUGUCGGGUCGUAAAACUCUGUUGUUAGGGAAGAACAAGUGCUAGUUGAAUAAGCUGGCACCUUGACGGUACCUAACCAGAAAGCCACGCCUAACUACGUGCCAGCAGCAGCGGUAAUACGUAGGUGGCAAGCGUUAUCCGGAAUUAUUGGGCGUAAAGCGCGCGCAGGUGGUUGCUUAAGUCUGAUGUGAAAGCCAACGGCUCAACCGUGGAGGGUCAUUGGAAACUGGGAGACUUGAGUGCAGAAGAGGAAAGUGGAAUUCCAUGUGGAGCGGUGAAAUGCGUAGAGAUAUGGAGGAACACCAGUGGCGAAGGCGACGUUCUGGUCUGUAACUGACACUGAGGCGCGAAAGCGUGGGGAGCAAACAGG
This 424-nucleotide ribosomal RNA is filed under the name uncultured bacterium. RNAcentral describes it as "bacterial SSU rRNA". It matches the Rfam family "Bacterial small subunit ribosomal RNA", at positions 361 to 776 of the family's 1533-position model. The record is from RNAcentral.